GAAUAUAAUUUUUUUGUAUUAUAGUUGAGUUUGUUGAGUUAUAUUAGGAGUCUAUUAUGUUAAUUGAUUCACUUUCUAUCUAAAACUGUGUAAUCCCCAAUUUCACGCCGUGAAUACAGUCGAAUACAAUAACAUGUCCAGCUGUAAUCCCAUGUUUUACGCCUUGAAUACAGUCGAAUAUACUCGAAUAUAACAACUGAUUA
Molecule: long non-coding RNA, 203 nt
Filed under: Nicotiana benthamiana
Lineage: Eukaryota; Viridiplantae; Streptophyta; Magnoliopsida; Solanales; Solanaceae
Description: long non-coding RNA (NBEN_LNC042269)
Source: RNAcentral